Molecule: ribosomal RNA, 477 nt
Filed under: uncultured bacterium
Lineage: Bacteria
Description: partial 16S ribosomal RNA
Rfam family: Bacterial small subunit ribosomal RNA
Source: RNAcentral
AUUGAACGCUGGCGGCAUGCCUUACACAUGCAAGUCGAACGGUAACAGGUUAAGCUGACGAGUGGCGAACGGGUGAGUAAUGUAUCGGAACGUGCCCAGUCGUGGGGGAUAACUGCUCGAAAGAGCAGCUAAUACCGCAUACGACCUGAGGGUGAAAGCGGGGGAUCGCAAGACCUCGCGCGAUUGGAGCGGCCGAUAUCAAAUUAGGUAGUUGGUGAGGUAAAGGCUCACCAAGCCGACGAUCUGUAGCUGGUCUGAGAGGACGACCAGCCACACUGGGACUGAGACACGGCCCAGACUCCUACGGGAGGCAGCAGUGGGGAAUUUUGGACAAUGGGCGCAAGCCUGAUCCAGCCAUGCCGCGUGCGGGAAGAAGGCCUUCGGGUUGUAAACCGCUUUUGUCAGGGAAGAAAAGGUUCUGGCUAAUACCUCGGACUCAUGACGGUACCUGAAGAAUAAGCACCGGCUAACUACGUG